CUAUACAUGCAAGUCGAGGGAGAUUGUUGGAUUCGUCUGACAUGAAACCGGCGCACGGGUGCGUAACACGUAUGCAACCUACCUUUAACUGGGGUAUAGCUCAGAGAAAUCUGAAUUAAUCCCCCAUAAGACUACGACAUGGCAUCAUGAUGUAGUUAAAGCUCCGGCGGUUAAGGAUGGGCAUGCGGUACAUUAGCUAGUUGGUGAGGUAAUGGCUCACCAAGGCCACGAUGUAUAGGGGGUCUGAGAGGAUGAUCCCCCACACUGGUACUGAGACACGGACCAGACUCCUACGGGAGGCAGCAGUAGGGAAUAUUGGUCAAUGGACGCAAGUCUGAACCAGCCAUGCCGCGUGAAGGAUGAAGGCCCUCUGGGUCGUAAACUUCUUUUAUUAGGGAAGAAAACAUGGGAUGCGUCCCAAACUGACGGUACUUAAUGAAUAAGGAUCGGCUAACUUCGUGCCAGCAGCCGCGGUAAGACGAAGGAUCCAAGCGUUGUCCGGAUUUACUGGGUUUAAAGGGUGCGUAGGCGGAAAAUUAAGUCAGUGGUGAAAGCCCGCAGCUCAACUGUGGAACUGCCAUUGAAACUGAUUUUCUUGAAUAUAGCUGAGGCAGAUGGAAUAUAACAUGUAGCGGUGAAAUGCUUAGAUAUGUUAUAGAACACCGAUUGCGAAGGCAGUCUGCUAAACUAUUAUUGACGCUGAGGCACGAAAGCGUGGGGAGCGAACAGGAUUAGAUACCCUGGUAGUCCACGCCCUAAACGUUGAUUACUCGCUGUUGGCGAUAUACUGUCAGUGGCUAAGCGAAAGCGUUAAGUAAUCCACCUGGGAAGUACGACCGCAAGGUUGAAACUCAAAGGAAUUGACGGGGGCCCGCACAAGCGGAGGAGCAUGUGGUUUAAUUCGAUGAUACGCGAGAAACCUUACCUGGGCUUAAAUGU
Molecule: ribosomal RNA, 939 nt
Filed under: uncultured Bacteroidota bacterium
Lineage: Bacteria; Pseudomonadati; Bacteroidota
Description: bacterial SSU rRNA
Rfam family: Bacterial small subunit ribosomal RNA
Source: RNAcentral